Long non-coding RNA from Hirundo rustica (Barn swallow), 607 nucleotides. RefSeq lists it as uncharacterized. The record is from RefSeq and is a predicted model, not a curated record. The transcript has 3 exons. Lineage: Eukaryota; Metazoa; Chordata; Aves; Passeriformes; Hirundinidae.
CCUCCUGCUCCCCUCAGUGCUUCCUGCCGCCAUCACCGUCCCCUGGCAGGGGCUCCCACUGCAUCACCAUUAAUGAGCUGAUCUGCAUGUUUGAUUAGAAGGGCUUUGAUUAGACGUGUGGAGGGGAAGAACAGCAAGGACUGGUCCAGCUUUUGAGAGGCAUCGCCCAGCUCCUGACAGCACCACGGGGGCUGGAAUCUCACACCCUUCACUGUCCUUAAUUCUGAGAAUUGAAUGGACAGGCAGAAACAAACCAAAGCAGUCAGGCCAAGACACCAUCAGCCCCAAGUUGUGUUCUCCUCCAGGAGCAUCCAGAGCCAGGACACCCCUCUGUGCACGCAGGAGAAGGGCUUUCCUGAGCAUGCCUGGAAAAAACCUUCCUGUUUCCAUGAGAAAAUGGGAUGGAAUCUCCUCCAGGCCCUGCUGGCAGCGAUGCUCCCGUCACCUCCCCACGUUCCUCCCGCUGCACCCCGCGUGCCUGAGAAGGGCGAUGUGGGAGCAGGGUGGGAGGGAGGAGGGCACUGUAGGUGGAUCUGAGCCACCUCAGAUUGGAAGGGAAGUCCUUAAAUCUGAGCCUGUUUGGCAGAUAAAGCUCCGGGCUGCCAGA